UACGUAGGUGACCAGCGUUGUCCGGAUUUACUGGGCGUAAAGAGCGCGCAGGCGGUCGUUCAAGUCGAGUGUGAAAGCCCCCGGCUCAACUGGGGAGGGUCAUUCGAUACUGAUCGACUCGAAGGCAGGAGAGGGUAGUGGAGUUCCCGGUGUAGUGGUGAAAUGCGUAGAUAUCGGGAGGAACACCAGUGGCGAAGGCGACUACCUGGCCUGUUCUUGACGCUGAGGCGCGAAAGCUAGGGGAGCAAACGGG
This 253-nucleotide ribosomal RNA is filed under the name uncultured bacterium. RNAcentral describes it as "partial 16S ribosomal RNA". It matches the Rfam family "Bacterial small subunit ribosomal RNA", at positions 524 to 776 of the family's 1533-position model. The record is from RNAcentral.